GGAGAGGUACCGAAGUGGUCGUAACGGGGGCGCCUCGAAAGCGUCUUGGCGGCUAAACCCCGCCACGUGGGUUCGAAUCCCACCCUCUCCGCCA
RNAcentral lists this transfer RNA (94 nucleotides) under Acidobacteriota bacterium. RNAcentral describes it as "tRNA-Ser". It matches the Rfam family "tRNA". Rfam says of the family: Transfer RNA (tRNA) molecules are approximately 80 nucleotides in length. Their secondary structure includes four short double-helical elements and three loops (D, anti-codon, and T loops). RNAcentral also lists the same sequence under 1 other name. Lineage: Bacteria; Pseudomonadati; Acidobacteriota. The record is from RNAcentral.